CACUUCUGUGUUGUUCCUGGGGACGGGAGGCUGAGAAAUGAGGCCACAGGGCCCUCCCAGCCUGAUGCGCUCUGGACUUCCCUAACCGCGACCUCCGGGCCAGCCAGAGCCCAGAGAAGAACUCUGCGGGCUCCCAGCUCCCGGGGUUCCGAAGUGGAGGGAGAGGGGACACUCCCCCAGGAGGGACCAACGGGGUCCCUGCUGGCCUUCCAGGCAUCACGGAUCGACAAACGGCCUCCUCUCCCGCCCCUCUUCUUUUGCUGCCUUUCAGAGGCUCACCAGGAGUUAGAGCUGAAAAGAAUACAGACAUCAUGUCUCCAAAUACAUUGGCCAUCAUCUCCUCCAACCCCCGGCCUCCGGGAGCGGCCCCUGACCAGGACCAGUGCCAGGCUGCGGAGCACGCUAGCAGCGGUUGCAAGGCCAGGUGAGUCAUUAUGUGGCAGCCUCAACUGAACACCCCCUGACCCCCCAGAUGGACCCGGCGCUGCAUUAUCUGCAAGCUCACAAAAGGACCCCGUUUGCUCCUGCCUUCAAAUCCCCCACGGAUUUGAGUUCCGUGGUCUGCCACGAAUUCCCCACGGAUUAUGAGUUCAUUUUCUGAUCUUUAGUUUUCCCACUUGUAAUCUGGGAAUAUUCAUGGGUCACUGUGAGGAUUAAAUGAGUUUACACAUGCAAAGCUCUCAGAACAGUGCUCGGCCCAGACCAAUCCCGUGAGAAGCAUGAAUGGGACAUGAGAUGCCCGCCUGCAACUCGCUUAGGUUCGUGGUGAGACAAGAUGCAGAGAGCUGGAAACCCAGCAUCUCAAAUACAAACGCAGCCUGGCCAUCGACUAUGACCUAACUUUACCCCAUUGGGUCCCCAAGGCAAGUUGGGCACUAACGAAUACUCCGCUCCGGCAGAGAGAAGGCAGGUGAUGACACGCGGGGCGGGGGUGGGGGGCUGACUGUGACAUACAUGGAGUGGACCGUGGGGACUUGAAGAGCCCGUGCCUAUCUUCAGGGAGGCAGCCAGGACUCAGCUCCAGCCAACUGCUGCAACGUGCAAGGUAGGAGCAGCAUGGCUAGGCCUGCCAAUUUUUAGAGAAAAGCCAGACCUCUGGAUUUUCAGGUCACACUUCCUAAUUUUGAAAUACUCUGUUAAUUAAUUAAGACACUGUGAGUGCAAAGGGAGCUCCAGAUCAUGCAGCCUGUGUUGCGUCAUCUGGACACAGGCAGCAUGUCCAAGCCAGGGUAUGCCUGUCAUUUUCAAGUCUUCUGUCCCCAACUUGCCAGCAGUGUCCCGAUGAGCUGAUCAGGCCACUUCAACACCAACACUUAAAGCAGGUGGCAUAAGACCAAAAAGGUGACAGCCCCUUUCUCUGUGGACACCUGCCAUCCUCUCCAUCCAUGGAAUGAGGGUGAGGAGAAGGGAAAACAGGAAAAUGAGGGGGCUCUCCCUAAAGGACCACAGGCCCCUUGGCCUAAUCCACCUCCUGCAGGUGUUCCUCUGAUAAAGAAGGCAGCCCAAAGGGAAGACCAGGGGCUUAAGCCCCCAGAAUCUCCAUCAGUCACCUCAAGUGAACAUCAGUAGCCCAAAUGAUAACAUGUGCUGGCUCUGCAAGUUUCAACUCUGAAGCAAGCUUGCUCACGAUGAGACACCACUUCACACCCACCAGGAUGGCUACAACCAGAUGGAUGCUAACCGAUGUCGGUGAGGAUGUGGGGGGAUGGGACCCCUCAGACAUGGCCGAUGGGAAGGUAUAUGGCACAACCGCUCCGGGAAACAGUCUGGAAGCUCCUCAAAAAGUUAAACACAGGGGAUUCCUGGGUGGAUCAGUGGUUUAGCACCUGCCUUCGGCCCAGGGCACGAUCCUGGAGUCCCGGGAUCGAGUCCCACGUCAGGCUCCCUGCAUGGAGCCUGCUUCUCCCUCUGCCUGUGUCUCUGCCUCUCUCUCUCUCUCUCUGUGUGUGUCUCUCAUGAAUAAAUAAAUAAAAUCUUAAAAAAGAAGUUAAACGCAGGGUUACCCCGUGACUCCUGAGUAUAUAUCCCAAGAGAGAUGGAAAUACAAAUCUACACAAAACUCUGUUCAAGAGUGUUCGCAGCAGCAUUAGUCAUGACAGCCAAAAGGCAGAAAGGACCCAAAUAUCCAUCACUCGAUGGAUGGAUAAACAAAAUGUGAUCUAUCCAGGCAAAGGAAAUUACUCAGCCAUCAAAAGGAAUGACGUACUGUUACACGAUACACAAUGCAGGUGACCCUUGAGAACGUCAGGCUAAGUGCAAGAAGUUGAUGAAAACAACCGCAUCUGCCUCCAUGUGUAUGACGUGACCAGAAGAGAUCAAUUGAGAGGACAGAAAGGAGAUUCGUGGUGGCCUGGGGCUGAGAAGAGGAGAGUGAGGCUCAGGGAGAUGAAGUAACUUGCCAGAAGCACACAGGAGCCAGGAAUGGAGCCUGAGUCUGUUUCUCAAGGUAGUCAGAUAUCCAGGAAGAAGCAGGAGUUCUCAGCUAUGGGAAGACAAUGAGACAUACGCAGCUCAGCAGUUAACAGCACAGACUCUGGAGCCCAGCUACUCAAGUUUGAAUCUGGGCUCUUCCACUACUUAGCUGUGUGACCGUGGGUAAGUUACUUGAUGUCUCUCUACCUCAGUUUCCUCCUAUGUAAAAUGGGAAAAAUAAAAAUGCUGUGUGUGUUUCUGUGUGUGUGUGUGUGUGUGUGUGUAUCACAUAAGAUCAUUAUAGGAAAUAAGCAAAUCAGUAAGUGUGAGCAGAUAAGAAGGGAGCCAGGCACAUGGCAAGUUCAUUAAAUAAAUGAAAGCAGAAGCUCAUAUACCCAGAAUCGGAAAGAAAUCAGGUUAGGCCUAACAAAAACCAGGUAGUGGGACCAAAAUCAUGGAAAUAAAUUCUGACAUUCUAUUCUGUUCCUUUCUGUGAAAACAUUUAUGGUUUAGCAAUUGCUGGAAGCUCUCCAGACCACAGACAAAUCUUUAAACGCAUCAUGGUAGUGGCCGCCUGGGAUGACAGGGUACACGGUUGCAGGCUCUAUCACUGACUGGAGCCCAGGGGGGUCCCCUCCUAUCAUACCUGCCCAUAAGGCCAGAUGUCCUCCCCCCGGGGGGCGGGGCAGCAAGUAUCCCUCAGCUCUGCUCUCUGCAAUAGGUGUGAUCUGCAUCGUUUUAAAGAUGUGGAAACUGAGGCUCAGAGAAGUUCAAGAAUUUGCUCACAGUACAGCUAAUAACAUGCAGGGUUGGGAUCCAAACGUGGGUGGAAUUCUAAAUCCUCUACGCUGUGUGGCCUCUAUGUAUUAGUUACUACUGCUGUGUUGUAAAUCACCAAACUUAGUGGCUUGAUGCAACAAACAUUUAUAAUCAUAGAGCUCUUCAGAAAUCCAGGAGUUUGCUCAGCCGGUGGUUCUGAAACUCUCAUGAGGUCGUAGUCAAAAUGUUGGCCAAGGCUACAGUCAUCCCAAAGCUCUGCGGAGCCUACUGCUUCUAAACUCAGUUAAUGAGGUUGCUGGCAGCCUUGGUGUCCUGCUGGCUCUCGGCCAGGGGCUUCAGCUCUUUGCCCACACGGACCUCUCCAGAGGGCUGCUCACAACAGGACAGCUUAGUUUCCCCCAGGGCAAGAGGUUCUAGAAAAAGGCACAGACACAAGAGAGUAUCCAAAAGCUGCAAUCUGGGCAGCUCAGGUGGCUCAGCACUUUAGCGCUGCCUUCAG
Long non-coding RNA from Canis lupus familiaris (dog), 3691 nucleotides. RefSeq lists it as uncharacterized. The record is from RefSeq and is a predicted model, not a curated record. The transcript is spliced from 3 exons. NCBI's taxonomy places the organism in Eukaryota, Metazoa, Chordata, Mammalia, Carnivora, Canidae.